This 35-nucleotide transfer RNA is filed under the name Knautia arvensis. Its description in RNAcentral is "partial tRNA-Leu". RNAcentral also lists the same sequence under 5 other names. The record is from RNAcentral. Lineage: Eukaryota; Viridiplantae; Streptophyta; Magnoliopsida; Dipsacales; Caprifoliaceae.
AAUCCGUCGACUUUAGAAAUCGUGAGGGUUCAAGU